Molecule: ribosomal RNA, 861 nt
Filed under: Talaromyces funiculosus
Lineage: Eukaryota; Fungi; Ascomycota; Eurotiomycetes; Eurotiales; Trichocomaceae
Description: LSU rRNA
Rfam family: Eukaryotic large subunit ribosomal RNA
Source: RNAcentral
ACGGCGAGUGAAGCGGCAAGAGCUCCAAUUUGAAAUCUGGCCCCCUUGGGGUCCGAGUUGUAAUUUGCAGAGGAUGCUUCGGGUGCGGUCCCCGUCUAAGUGCCCUGGAACGGGCCGUCAUAGAGGGUGAGAAUCCCGUCUGGGAUGGGCGGCCGCGCCCGUGUGAAGCUCCUUCGACGAGUCGAGUUGUUUGGGAAUGCAGCUCUAAGCGGGUGGUAAAUUUCAUCUAAAGCUAAAUACUGGCCGGAGACCGAUAGCGCACAAGUAGAGUGAUCGAAAGAUGAAAAGCACUUUGAAAAGAGAGUUAAACAGCACGUGAAAUUGUUGAAAGGGAAGCGUUGUCCACCAGACUCGCCCGGGGGGGCUCAGCCGGCACGUGUGCCGGUGUACUCCCCUCCGGGCGGGCCAGCAUCGGUUUGGGCGGCUGGUGAAAGGCCCCGGGAAUGUACCACCCUCCGGGGUGCCUUAUAGCCCGGGGUGUCAUGCAGCCAGCCUGGACCGAGGCCCGCGCUUCGGCGAGGAUGCUGGCGUAAUGGUGGUCAACGGCCCGUCUUGAAACACGGACCAAGGAGUCUAACAUCUAUGCGAGUGUUCGGGUGUCAAACCCGUCCGCGCAGUGAAAGCGAACGGAGGUGGGAGCCCCUCGGGGCGCACCAUCGACCGAUCCUGAUGUCUUCGGAUGGAUUUGAGUAAGAGCAUAGCUGUUGGGACCCGAAAGAUGGUGAACUAUGCCUGAAUAGGGCGAAGCCAGAGGAAACUCUGGUGGAGGCUCGCAGCGGUUCUGACGUGCAAAUCGAUCGUCAAAUUUGGGUAUAGGGGCGAAAGACUAAUCGAACCAUCUGGUAGCUGGUUCCUGCCGAA